CUGGUCAAAUCUUUUCGAUGCCCCUAGGCAACCAAAAAGUCACUCAUGUGACAUCAAAGAGAAAAUGCAAGAUUCAGUGUUCGGUUGUCGUCUGCUGGUUACACCACAGUGAAUCUUACUUCAGCUGAGAUGGCAGAAUAGGGAGACGGAGUGCCACUGAGAGAAAUCUGUGUUAGACUAAAACAACCGAGGGUGUGGAAGACAUGUUUCCUGUUUGGUUUCCUCUGAUGCUCUGCUGACACCAUGUGAUCGCCGCGGUAACUGCAUCCACCAGUCGAUGAAGGGCCAAUAAGGUGGUCCUGUGUGUGAGAGGCUGGGAUUUGUUGCUGUGUACAGUAGAGCCCAAACAACACAUUCAUCACCGGCAGACGUCCCUGCUCCUCUCCUAGUGUGCCGAAUUGAUGAACCAUCAACACAAGUUUCAUCAUGUUCACUUUGUAUUGAUAAAGCAAUCAUGCAUGCUU
Long non-coding RNA from Thunnus maccoyii (southern bluefin tuna), 464 nucleotides. RefSeq lists it as uncharacterized. The record is from RefSeq and is a predicted model, not a curated record. The transcript has 2 exons. NCBI's taxonomy places the organism in Eukaryota, Metazoa, Chordata, Actinopteri, Scombriformes, Scombridae.